Molecule: ribosomal RNA, 474 nt
Filed under: uncultured bacterium
Lineage: Bacteria
Description: partial 16S ribosomal RNA
Rfam family: Bacterial small subunit ribosomal RNA
Source: RNAcentral
GACGAACGCUGGCGGCGUGCUUAACACAUGCAAGUCGAGCGGUAAGGCUCCUUCGGGAGUACCCGAGCGGCGAACGGGUGAGUAACACGUGAGUAAUCUGCCCUUCACUUCGGGAUAACCACCGGAAACGGUGGCUAAUACCGAAUACGACCAGUCUUCGCAUGAGGUGCUGGUGGAAAGUCUUUUCGGUGAAGGAUGUGCUCGCGGCCUAUCAGCUUGUUGGUGGGGUAAUGGCCUACCAAGGCUUCGACGGGUAGCCGGCCUGAGAGGGUGACCGGCCACACUGGGACUGAGACACGGCCCAGACUCCUACGGGAGGCAGCAGUGGGGAAUAUUGGACAAUGGGCGAAAGCCUGAUCCAGCAACGCCGCGUGAGGGAUGACGGCCUUCGGGUUGUAAACCUCUUUCAGUACCGACGAAGCGCCCUGUCGGGUGGUGACGGUAGGUACAGAAGAAGGACCGGCCAACUACGUG